Molecule: ribosomal RNA, 512 nt
Filed under: uncultured bacterium
Lineage: Bacteria
Description: bacterial SSU rRNA
Rfam family: Bacterial small subunit ribosomal RNA
Source: RNAcentral
AGAGUUUGAUCAUGGCUCAGGACGAACGCUGGCGGCGUGCUUAACACAUGCAAGUGGAGCGACGAACCAGGCUUCGGCCUGGGGCAAAGCCGCGAACGGGUGAGUAACACGUGGGUAACGUGCCCCGAUGACCGGGACAACCCGAGGAAACUCGGGCUAAUACCGGAUGUACUGCAGAGACAUCAGUUUCUGCAACAAAGGAAGCUUCGGCCUCCGCAUCGGGAGCGGCCCGCGGCCCAUUAGCUUGUUGGUGAGGUAACGGCUCACCAAGGCUGCGAUGGGUAGCUGGUCUGAGAGGACGAUCAGCCACACUGGGACUGAGACACGGCCCAGACUCCUACGGGAGGCAGCAGUGGGGAAUCUUGCGCAAUGCGCGAAAGCGUGACGCAGCAACGCCGCGUGGGGGAUGAAGGCCUUCGGGUUGUAAACCUCUUUCAGCAGGGAAGAAGCGAAAGUGACGGUACCUGCAGAAGAAGCACCGGCUAACUACGUGCCAGCAGCCGCGGUAAUUC